AUGGAUGUCGUCGGGGAAGGAGCCCGCGCCGCGGCGGCGGCUGGUGGCGGUGGCGGUGGCUCGGGCGGGUUCAUCCACUCCGUCGUGGGCCUCUCCUCCGCCUCCACGCCGCUCCUCUUCUGGCUCCUCACCGUCGCGCUCGUCGCCGCCAUCCACGUCGCCUCCGCCUACAUGUCCUCCUCCUCCUCCUCCCCAAGGGGCGAGGAUAAGGAGACGGAGAGGAGGCCGCGCGGCGGCGGCUUCCCCGGCGACGAGAGGGACGGGGAGGCGGACGCGCACGACGACAGGGUUCUCCAGAUGAUGCGCAGCUUCAGCUUCGUGCACGCCAGCGAGGAGGAUUUCGUGGAGGGCAUGGCCGCCUACGAACGCGCUUUUGACGACGCGCCGCCCGAGCCGGUCGCCCCGGCCUCGCCGCCGCCGGCUCCGGCCUCUCCGUCGAGCCUCUGCUUCAGCUUUCAGAAUCAGAUGCCUGAAAUUCCGCGAGAGGCCCCGGUGGUUUCGACAGCAGCACCAGUCCAGAAAGAGGAGGAGGAGCACCAGGAAAAAAAGCAGGGCAAGGAAUCGCUGAUUCCAUUCGCUCCGGUGGCCACGCAAGAGCACGAGCACGAAGCAGAGGAAGCAGAGGUGCUAGUGGAAGAAGAAGAAGACGACGAUGAGCCGAGCGGCGAGGCUGUCGACGCAGAGCCGAAGAUCGUUCCGGCCACGCACAACUACCGGUUCCUGACGGAGCGGGACUUCCGUGGGUUCGUCAGGGAGCCGGAGACCAUGACGGUGCGCGUCCAGGAGUCCUUCGUGCCGCCACCGCCGCUGCAGCCGGCGGCGCAGCUUGAGGAACGGAGAGUGGUCGACGGCUCCUCUCGCCGCGGCAACUCCGUCACGGCGAACGACUUCCUGCCGGCGGACAAGCCCGUCGCGUACGACAGAGUGGCGUCGCUGACGAAGAGGGCGCCGUCCAUGCGGAAGCAGGCGAGCUCGGUGUCCAAAGACAGCGCCGUGAGCGGGAGGACGAGCUUCGCCUCCGAGUUCUCCGGCUUCGGCGACUCCGACUCAGACUCCAGCGCCAGCGACGACGGGUACUCGGUGAAGGAGCUUGUCGUCGACUCCGACAGCGACUGGUUCCACUCGGAGAAAGACUUCUCGGCGGGGGUGCACGACGCCGCCAGCCUGCGGAGCUACAAGGCCAAGGUGCUCAAGGCCAUGGAAUCCCUGGAGGAGGUGGACAUGCUGCAGCUGUCUUUCCGGGACUCGUCGGCAACCACGGUGUCGCCGGGCUCAGUCGCCCAGGCCUCGCCGGACAGCGUCAAGUACCCCGAGGACAUGUGGUCACGGACCCAUUCGCCGGAAGCCGAGUACAAAGAGGAUGACGAGACGGGAACACCCCGAGAAGCCGAAGAGGCCGAGGCGAAGAUCGUCGAAGGGGAGGGGAGCAGCAUCGACAUGAGCGACGACGAUGACGAUGACCGCUCCUCGAGCAGCAAGAAGAAGAUGAUCGCGGCACCGGUGUAUGACGCCGAAUUCGCCGUUGAGAACAGCUUGGAGCAUUCGGAGAAGGAAAUUAUCACCAUAAACGAUCAUUCAUACGAAGCCAUUUCUGAUGCCAAGAGCAGUCCAGAGGUAACCACUGACAGAGAAUUGGUUGUUUCGUCUCAUCAAGCAGUUGAUGAUACCGAGAGGAGCCCACAGCCAUCAGAGAGGGAACUUCUUGUCGGUACAAGUGGUCAUCCACCUGAGCUUGUUUCUCGUGACAGAGAAGAAGCAGCCAGUACGAAUGGUCAGACAGACACUGAUGACAGGAGAAGCCCAGAGCAUCCGGAGCAGAAAUUUGUUUUAGUAGAAGGUCACUCACAUGAACUUAUAUCUGAUGUUUGGAAAGAAAUUGCUGGUACAGAAGAAGAGGAAGAAGGCGAGGUUGCUUAUGAUUUCAUGGGAAGCCCUGAGCCUUCAGAGAAACAAUUUGUCAGCAGAAAUGUUCAUUCAGAUGAACUCAGCUCCGAUGAUCACAAAGCAAUUGCCCACACAAAUUAUCGGUCAUAUGCAGCAGUUUCUGACGAUCGUACCACCCCGGAGCACUCAGAGCAGGAGUUCAGUAGAGAUGAUCAUCGAUAUGGAGUAAUCCCUCACGGCGAGAACAUUUCAGAGCCAACAGAGGAUAAGCAUGCUAGUGCAGAUGAUCAUCUAGCCAAAGCCCCUCGACAUGUCCACUUUUCAGUUACCGAGAAGGCCAAGUCUCUGGACGAGGAGGAGGAUAAGGAAGGCAAGUGGAAGGACUUGACAGAGGAAGAAGAGGACGAAUUGGAGUCACUGUGGGAGCACCAAGACCUGAUCGAGCAGCUGAAGCUAGAGCUGAAGAAGGUGCGGUCAGCCGGGCUGCCGACGAUCCUGGAGGAGUCGGAGUCACCAAAGGCGCCGAUGGAGGACCUCAAACCAUGGAGGAUCGACGCCAAGUUCCUGCGCGAGGACCCGAUGGAUGAGCUGAACAAGUUCUUCAAGAGUUACAGGGAGAGGAUGAGGAAGUUUGACAUCCUGUGCUUUCAGAAGAUGUAUGCCAUAGAUUUUCUCCAGCUCAGAGGGCCCCAACAGUCGACGAACUCUAUGAAGGCCUUGUCACCAACGGCGCUAUCCAUCCUGUCGCACAAUUUCCGAUCGGCUCGCUGGAGAUCACCCGAGGAUCCAUCGGACCGGCUCCUCAAGGACCUCCGGUGCGACUUGGAGACGGUCUACGUCGGGCAGAUGUGCCUGUCGUGGGAGUUCCUCCGGUGGCAGUACGAGCAAGCCUGUGACCUGCCGGAAUCCGACCCUUACCACAGCCACCACUACAACCAGGUGGCCGGGGAGUUCCAGCAGUUUCAGGUGAUGGUGCAGAGGUUUGUGGAGGACGAGCCCUUCAAGGGCCCUCGGCUGCCAGACUACGUCAAGGAACGAUGCCCCUUUCGCAACUUCUUGCAAGUGCCCGUGAUAAGAGUUUGGGUUGCAGAGGACAGCCUGAAGGACAGAAUGGAGGACCAACGCAAGGGGAACUACGUGAUAACGAGCGAGGAGCUGGAGGUCGUCAUGGAGGAGUCGAUGCACAUUCUGUGGGAGUUCAUCAAGGCCGACAAAGAGCCGCAGACGUCGGUGCUGAAGGGCUUGUCGACUGCCCACGUCGAGCUCCAGGACCCCAGGGACGAGGCUCUUGUGAAGGCCAUCCACGCCACGUUACAGAAGAAAGAGAAGAGGCUGAAGGACCUGCUGAGGACGGGGAACUGCAUCGUGAAGAAGUUCAAGAAGCCCAAGGAGGACCGGUCGGACCAGAACCUCUUCUUCUCGCAGGUGGACAUGCGGCUGGUGGCGCGCGUGCUGAGGAUGCCGAGGAUCACCGGCGACCAGCUGCAGUGGUGCAAGGCGAAGCUGGACAAGAUCAUGCUGGUCGACAACAGGCGGAUCCACAGGGAGGCUUCGUUCUUGCUCUUCCCCUGCCUGGAGUACAAAACAUAA
This 3474-nucleotide ribosomal RNA is filed under the name Triticum aestivum (bread wheat). RNAcentral describes it as "partial small subunit ribosomal RNA". The record is from RNAcentral. Lineage: Eukaryota; Viridiplantae; Streptophyta; Magnoliopsida; Poales; Poaceae.